AUGACACCCUCUCCCGACCCGAGUCACAGCGGACGAGGCCAGCAGUGGGGAAAAUAUGGUACCUACCCACUCCCGCCACGACCGCAGUACACGCAGCACUUUGUAGGCAUUCCUAUCCUGGCUCUUCAGGUUGCAGCGGUUGGCAAAGGUCUGGCCGCAGGUGUCGCAGCGGUGCACCACCUCGGUGGCCACGCCGUGGUGGAGCCGCACGUGCUUCAGGAAGCUCUUCUCGUACAAGAAGGCCUUCUCACAGCGCGUACACUGGAAGUUGCUCCUCCGCCGACCCGGGCCCUCUUCUCCCUCCUCCUCCUCGUCCCCCUCCUCACCUCGCCCCACUUUGGGCGGCGCGGCCUCCGCCCCUGCCCCAGCCUCGCUGUCCUCCUCGUCCUUCGUGAUUGCUUCUUUCUCGGUUUCCAGGGCUUCUGGGCUGGGCUCCCGGGGGCCCCCGCAGCCCCCCACGUCCUGCUCAGCACUCUUCUGCUGCUCCCGGAGUCGGCGCGUGUACUUCUUUUUAGGGAUUUCCACGAACACCUUCCUCCCGGCCAGCCGCCCACUGGCCCUUCUGAGCUUGGGGUAGGGGGGCUUAGCCACCUCUUUCCUCUUGUCUGGCUUCUCCCUGGACUUCCUCGGGGUCAGAUCUGGCAACAGACCAUUGCUGAUUCUCUCUGCUGGGGGAUCCAAAGAACUGGCAACCCCAUUGGCCAGAGGGCCAUCAGUGGCCACCCCUGCCCAGGCCUCAGGGGCGAGAGCAGCUGUAACCUGGGCGCCGCUGCUCCCUUCUGCCUCCUGAGACUCUGAGAAAUUCUGCAACUCCAAAAGUACCGACUCUAACAUCUGCUUCUUCAGCUGAAAACAAGUUUCGGAUAAGUCCAAACACUUCAGCUUUUCCGCCAUUUCCAGCAUGCGCUGUACCCGGUCUUCCUCGACCUGUACCUUGGCCGUGUAGACAAACUCAAGAAAGGAAGCAAAGUCGGCUACCUGCACUUCGUCUAAGUAGACGUUAGUCCUGGCACCAUCCACAGUCUUCUCGUUAAGGAACACUUCCUUAAAAAACUUGCUGGUGGCUGCCAGCACUGCCUUGUGGGCCAUGAAUUCCUCCCGGACGCCCUGGUAUUCCACGCUGACGGUCACGUCACACAGGUGACCCAGCAGGCGGAGCUGGUGCAUCUCAUGCAGGAGGUUGAUUGGGGAGGACUUGGAUUCUAGCAGGACCGCACCACUCUCCAUGUUUCUUCUUCCCAGAAACACCUUUGAACACAAACCAAGAAUUAUUCAUGCACAGCAACCUCCGAAGCAGAAGGAAUAAGAACUGUGAGGAUUACAUAUCAGUUCUUUAGAGGAUAUAAACUGAUGAACGACCUAAAAAACCUAACUUUUCUCCCGUACACUUUCAAGUCACACAUCACAUCUUAGCAUUUUUUCUGAAGUCCCAGUGUACCUCCAGAGACAUUUGUAUGAAAAAAGACUAAGGCUGCCCUAAAGAUAUUAUUAAUGAAGUAUGUUAAAGCAACAAUUUGCUUCUUGAGGUGAUUCUGUUAUUUGCCUGCAGACCCAGACCUUGUAAACAGAAUUUAAAGCAACAAUAAAUAAGCUGUGCUGCGUUGAUCAGGAGGAGGAAAUGGCAACUCACUCCAGUAUUCUCGCCUGGGAAAUCCCAUGGACUAGGGAGCCUGGCCGGCUAGAGUCCCCGGGGUUGCAAGAGUCGGACACACGACUUAGCGACCAAAACACAAACGCUUUGAUCUGGAAACCAGAUAAAAUACAUGGCCACCACGGUUAGGAAAGCAAACCCUGUCUGACUUUGGAAACAACCGAUUGAAGAAAAUAUCUACUUUCUACGAAGAAAACUUCCUGGAAAGUAGCGGACAAUCCAUGGCAUCUCCACCCCCGGACGCCCGUCCUACUGCACUGGGGCGACCGGGGGCACAGCGCUGGGGUCCAGUUGCGCUACCUGGAGCAGGGCCCUCAGUCCCUCCAGCCACAGAGGCUCCUGGGCUGGAGGCUGGACAGGCCGCCGUUGGAGUGGCAGCC
This 2031-nucleotide long non-coding RNA is filed under the name Ovis aries (sheep). RNAcentral describes it as "lncRNA (ENSOARG00000026230.1)". The record is from RNAcentral. Lineage: Eukaryota; Metazoa; Chordata; Mammalia; Artiodactyla; Bovidae.